RNAcentral lists this non-coding RNA (117 nucleotides) under Gorilla gorilla gorilla (western lowland gorilla). The record is from Rfam by way of RNAcentral. Lineage: Eukaryota; Metazoa; Chordata; Mammalia; Primates; Hominidae.
GCCGGGCGCGGUGGCUCACGCCUGUAAUCCAAGCACUUUGGGAGGCUGAGGCAGGUGGAUCGCCUGAGGUCAGGAGUUCAAGACCAGCCUGGCCAACAUGGUGAAACCCCGUCUCUA